Molecule: ribosomal RNA, 477 nt
Filed under: uncultured anaerobic ammonium-oxidizing bacterium
Lineage: Bacteria
Description: bacterial SSU rRNA
Rfam family: Bacterial small subunit ribosomal RNA
Source: RNAcentral
UUCGCAAUGCCCGAAAGGGUGACGAUGCGACGCCGCGUGAGCGAAGAAGGCCCUAGGGUUGUAAAGCUCUGUCGAGGGUUAUGAAAUAUAGAUGGGUUAAUACCCCAUUUAUUUGACAAAAGCCCAAAAGGAAGCCACGGCUAACUCUGUGCCAGUAGCCGCGGUAAUACAGAGGUGGCGAGCGUUGUUCGGUAUUAUUGGGCGUAAAGAGCACGUAGGUGGUUUUGUAAGUCAGGUGUGAAAGCCUUCUGUUCAAAGGAAGAACGGCAUCUGAAACUGCAGAUCUUGAGUGUAGGAGGGGAGAGUGGAACUUCUGGUGGAGCGGUGAAAUGCGUAGAUAUCAGAAGGAACGUCGGCGGCGAAAGCGACUCUCUGGCCUAUUACUGACACUGAGUGUGCGAAAGUUAGGGGAGCAAACGGGAUUAGAUACCCCGGUAGUCCUAACCGUAAACGAUGGGCACUAAGUAGAGGGGUUUU